GUUGAAACACCAGUUCCUGCACAUUCACCAAAGUUAAGCAACGUCAAGCCUGGUUAGUACUUAGAUGGGUGACUGCUUGGGAAUCCUAGGUGUUGUAAG
This is a non-coding RNA of Acanthosepion pharaonis, 99 nucleotides long. The record is from the annotation of a GenBank genome assembly. Lineage: Eukaryota; Metazoa; Mollusca; Cephalopoda; Sepiida; Sepiidae.